GACGAACGCUGGCGGCGUGCUUAACACAUGCAAGUCGAACGGAAAGGCCCUGCUUUUGUGGGGUGCUCGAGUGGCGAACGGGGGAGUAACACGUGAGUAUCCUGCCCUUGACUUUGGGAUAACUUCAGGAAACUGGGGCUAAUACCGGAUAUGAGCUCCUGCUGCAUGGUGGGGGUUGGAAAGUUUCGGCGGUUGGGGAUGGACUCGCGGCUUAUCAGCUUGUUGGUGGGGUAGUGGCUUACCAAGGCUUUGACGGGUAGCCGGCCUGAGAGGGUGACCGGCCACAUUGGGACUGAGAUACGGCCCAGACUCCUACGGGAGGCAGCAGUGGGGAAUAUUGCACAAUGGGCGGAAGCCUGAUGCAGCAACGCCGCGUGCGGGAUGACGGCCUUCGGGUUGUAAACCGCUUUCGCCUGUGACGAAGCGUGAGUGACGGUAAUGGGUAAAGAAGCACCGGCUAACUACGUG
This 468-nucleotide ribosomal RNA is filed under the name uncultured bacterium. RNAcentral's name for it is "partial 16S ribosomal RNA". It matches the Rfam family "Bacterial small subunit ribosomal RNA", at positions 28 to 507 of the family's 1533-position model. The record is from RNAcentral.